RNAcentral lists this ribosomal RNA (460 nucleotides) under uncultured bacterium. Its description in RNAcentral is "partial 16S ribosomal RNA". It matches the Rfam family "Bacterial small subunit ribosomal RNA", at positions 338 to 795 of the family's 1533-position model. The record is from RNAcentral.
CCUACGGGUGGCAGCAGUGAGGAAUAUUGGUCAAUGGACGCAAGUCUGAACCAGCCAUGCCGCGUGCAGGAUGACGGCUCUAUGAGUUGUAAACUGCUUUUGUACGAGGGUAAACCCCGAUACGUGUAUCGGGUUGAAAGUAUCGUACGAAUAAGGAUCGGCUAACUCCGUGCCAGCAGCCGCGGUAAUACGGAGGAUCCGAGCGUUAUCCGGAUUUAUUGGGCGUAAAGCGCUCGUAGGCGGUAUGUCAAGUCAAGGGUGAAAUCCCCGCGCUCAACGUGGGAACUGCCUUUGAAACUGGCAAACUGGAGUGUGUGAGAGGAUAGUGGAAUUCCAGGUGUAGGAGUGAAAUCCGUAGAUAUCUGGAGGAACAUCAGUGGCGAAGACGACUAUCUGGCACAUAACUGACGCUGAGGAGCGAAAGCGUGGGUAGCAAACAGGAUUAGAUACCCCUGUAGUC